This 862-nucleotide long non-coding RNA is filed under the name Mytilus galloprovincialis (Mediterranean mussel). The record is from RNAcentral. Lineage: Eukaryota; Metazoa; Mollusca; Bivalvia; Mytilida; Mytilidae.
AAAAAAUGGGGUCACCGUUCACAACCUGCCUUCGAAAGAAGCAUACAUUUUUGUAAAGGUACCUUUUUUCUGUUGAACUAAUAGCAGAAAUAGAGGUACAUGUAAUACCGAAAUAAGAGAACUUAAUUACAGAAAUCGCUCAAAUUUUACAAUAGUUUAGUUUAAGAACAGCUUAAUUGAAAAUAAUAAUAAAAAAAAAGGUCACGGAUGAGUUCCAAAAAUGGCAUUUUUAUACCAAAGGGAGAUAAUUUUGAGCAAUUUUAAUGAUAUCUACAUUUUACAAUUCAUCUGAGGCCAUCAAAAAUUGAUUUUUUUAAAUUAUUUUUGUACCAUAUGAUAAAGUAACAACUCUUGCACGUUAAAGACACCCUUGUAGAUUUCGAAAAAGAGUAGGCUAAUGCCGCUACAAGGCAGCACUCGCACCCGCAAAGUGGAAAGGGAUUGAUAUAAGUUGUAAAACUUGUUUCCCAAUCCACUAUAAAUAAAUAUGUUUAAACUAAAGUAACAACUACUUAAGGUAACAAAUAAAAGAAGUAGGUAAGGUUCCGAUUUUGGCCUCAAAUUUCAAAUUCAUCUAACGAAAGAUUUUGGACACUUUUUAAACUCUUAACUGUCUAUUUCAAUUGAUUCAAUUAGUUAAUGUGAAAGAUUUUGACUGACUUAGUCAUUAAAAACGCUCAGAUUCAAGCUUUCGUAUGAAAAAUCUAUUGAAUUUGCCAAAAAAUGUCACUUUUCUGAUGGUUUUUGUCAAAAAAUGAAAGUGGCCGCAUCUGUGUUCAUCAACCUUUACAUGUAUAUAUAUAUAUUAUGUAUUAUCAUUAAAUACAAUUAAAGAACCUUAGUGAGCACACUCACAUACCCC